GUGUUUUUUAAGGUUCUCUUGUCAGAGGAUUUUUGGCCACAAACUGAGCAGCAAAAAGGUUUCUCACCAGCGUGGGUUCUUGUGUGGUUAAUUCGGCUUCCCUUAAAAGAGAAUUUUUGGCCACAGUAUGAACAGGCAAAAGGCUUCUCACCAGUGUGGGUUCUCCUGUGAUUUUUUAGGUUUUCCCUUCUGAGAGAAUCUUUGGCCACAUUCUGAACAGGCAAAGGGUUUCUCACCAGUGUGUGU
Molecule: long non-coding RNA, 246 nt
Organism: Hippocampus zosterae (dwarf seahorse)
Lineage: Eukaryota; Metazoa; Chordata; Actinopteri; Syngnathiformes; Syngnathidae
Exons: 3
Source: RefSeq, a predicted model, not a curated record